This 396-nucleotide ribosomal RNA is filed under the name uncultured bacterium. Its description in RNAcentral is "partial 16S ribosomal RNA". It matches the Rfam family "Bacterial small subunit ribosomal RNA", at positions 523 to 917 of the family's 1533-position model. The record is from RNAcentral.
AUACGUAGGGGGCGAGCGUUGUCCGGAAUGAUUGGGCGUAAAGGGCGCGUAGGCGGCCCGGUAAGUCUGGAGUGAAAGUCCUGUUUUUAAGAUGGGAAUUGCUUUGGAUACUGUCGGGCUUGAGUGCAGGAGAGGAAAGUGGAAUUCCCAGUGUAGCGGUGAAAUGCGUAGAGAUUGGGAGGAACACCAGUGGCGAAGGCGACUUACUGGACUGUAACUGACGCUGAGGCGCGAAAGUGUGGGGAGCAAACAGGAUUAGAUACCCUGGUAGUCCACACUGUAAACGAUGAAUGCUAGGUGUAGGGGGUAUCGACCCCUUCUGUGCCGCAGUCAACACAAUAAGCAUUCCGCCUGGGGAGUACGGCCGCAAGGUUGAAACUCAAAGGAAUUGGCGGG